Molecule: long non-coding RNA, 600 nt
Filed under: Mustela putorius furo (domestic ferret)
Lineage: Eukaryota; Metazoa; Chordata; Mammalia; Carnivora; Mustelidae
Description: lncRNA (ENSMPUG00000031289.1)
Source: RNAcentral
UAUGGCGCCCAACGUGGGGCUGUGAGUCUCUACAUUUGGACUCUGAGCUUCAGUGCAAAAUUGGUGAAUACUUUCUCUCCUUUUCCUUUACUCUCAUUUCAGGGCUUUUCAAGGAGUAUUGUCUUAUUGCAACACUUGCAUGUCAGUUGCUCAGCCCACCGAACCUCACCUAGGCUCUAGAACUUCAUCAGAGGCAUGCUUCUCUUCCAGGAUGUUCAGCACAGAGAGAAGUAUGCAGCCGUUUACAGUCAAAGCGCAAGAGAUGCUUGGAAACUGGUUAACCAGAGCCGCUGAUGACUGUAGAGAUUGCUCAGAGUGUACUGAUUCUCAUUUCCAUUACCGUAACAGAAGGAAACCACAGCCUCAUUGUCUUCCUGGGGGAGAGGAUAGGAGACCCAGGCCACAGUACAGUCCCGGGAUGGAGAUACUCUCAUGCCGGCCCCCUCCAGACACCUAAGAAGCAGCAUCUCAGAAGCUUCCUUGGUAAUGUCCAGACCCUUGAGCUUCUUCUCAGAGGUAGGAAGUAUAUAUUGAAUCUCUUUUCUCUGCAUGAAAUGGGAGUCCAUGUCCAUUAUUUAUACUCACUCAGAAAUAAUUUUU